UUAAAUGUGCUUCAUGUUGGACAUCAACUUCUGUUUUGACUUUUUGCUUUGCCUUUGACCCUAGUCUUUGCACUAGUGGUUUGUAUUCACCUUUUGAGCUUUGUAUUUCAGGUUCAAGCAAUUAGCUAAAUGGUUGAUGUGAUCUCAUUACUUGAGAUGCAAGUUACUUUGGUUAGCUAACUUUGAUUGUGUUGUAGGUCCUUUGGU
Molecule: long non-coding RNA, 207 nt
Filed under: Lathyrus oleraceus (garden pea)
Lineage: Eukaryota; Viridiplantae; Streptophyta; Magnoliopsida; Fabales; Fabaceae
Description: Pisum sativum (pea) long non-coding RNA (PSAT_LNC025166)
Source: RNAcentral